UGAGGAAUAUUGGUCAAUGGGCGGGAGCCUGAACCAGCCAAGCCGCGUGAGGGAGGAAGGCCCUAUGGGUCGUAAACCUCUUUUGUCAGGGAACAAAAGCGAGUAUGUAUACUAGUCUGAGUGUACCUGAAGAAAAAGCAUCGGCUAACUCCGUGCCAGCAGCCGCGGUAAUACGGAGGAUGCGAGCGUUAUCCGGAUUUAUUAGGUUUAAAGGGUGCGUAGGCGGCGGUGCAAGUCAGCGGUAAAAGCCCGGGGCUCAACCCCGGCGAGCCGUUGAAACUGCAGUGCUAGAGAAGGCGAGAGGUACGCGGAAUGCGCAGUGUAGCGGUGAAAUGCUUAGAUAUUGCGCAGAACUCCGAUUGCGAAGGCAGCGUACUGGCGCCUGACUGACGCUGAGGCACGAAAGCGUGGGGAUCGAACAGGAUUAGAUACCC
Molecule: ribosomal RNA, 434 nt
Filed under: uncultured bacterium
Lineage: Bacteria
Description: bacterial SSU rRNA
Rfam family: Bacterial small subunit ribosomal RNA
Source: RNAcentral